Melanaphis sacchari is the source of this 213-nucleotide small nucleolar RNA. RefSeq annotates it as small nucleolar RNA U3. NCBI's taxonomy places the organism in Eukaryota, Metazoa, Arthropoda, Insecta, Hemiptera, Aphididae. The record is from RefSeq and is a predicted model, not a curated record. The transcript has a single exon.
AAGAUCACACUUCACAGGAUUAUUUCUGUAGUAUGCAUCGUCCCCUCCAGGUGCAAAUAUGGAGUCGUCAUCAGCCACGAUGAUGAGACUUGUCCAUCUACUUGAGCGUGAGAUCGCUGCUUAUCUUUUGAUCUGAGAUCAUGAUAAUCAUGCAACGAUGAACGCUUACGAUUCGCCGGUUAGUGGGUUGACACUGUUGACAGUCUGAGUGGU